AACGAACGCUGGCGGCAUGCCUAACACAUGCAAGUCGAACGAGAUCUUCGGGUCUAGUGGCGCACGGGUGCGUAACGCGGGGGAAUCUGCCCUUUGGUUCGGAAUAACAGUUGGAAACGACUGCUAAUACCGGAUGAUGACGAAAGUCCAAAGAUUUAUCGCCAGAGGAUGAGCCCGCGUAGGAUUAGCUAGUUGGUGUGGUAAAGGCGCACCAAGGCGACGAUCCUUAGCUGGUCUGAGAGGAUGAUCAGCCACACUGGGACUGAGACACGGCCCAGACUCCUACGGGAGGCAGCAGUGGGGAAUAUUGGACAAUGGGCGAAAGCCUGAUCCAGCAAUGCCGCGUGAGUGAUGAAGGCCUUCGGGUUGUAAAGCUCUUUUACCAGGGAUGAUAAUGACAGUACCUGGAGAAUAAGCUCCGGCUAACUCCGUGCCAGCAGCCGCAGUAA
RNAcentral lists this ribosomal RNA (449 nucleotides) under uncultured bacterium. RNAcentral describes it as "partial 16S ribosomal RNA". It matches the Rfam family "Bacterial small subunit ribosomal RNA", at positions 29 to 523 of the family's 1533-position model. The record is from RNAcentral.